GACCGCGUAGCUCAGUUGGCAGAGCAUUGGGCUGGUAUUCCAAAGGUCGCAGGUUCGAAUCCCACCGUGGCCG
RNAcentral lists this transfer RNA (73 nucleotides) under Paramuricea clavata. It matches the Rfam family "tRNA". Rfam says of the family: Transfer RNA (tRNA) molecules are approximately 80 nucleotides in length. Their secondary structure includes four short double-helical elements and three loops (D, anti-codon, and T loops). Lineage: Eukaryota; Metazoa; Cnidaria; Anthozoa; Malacalcyonacea; Plexauridae. The record is from Rfam by way of RNAcentral.